AAAAAGAUAAACCCUGAGUUUCUAUGUCCAACGUUUGACUAUCCGUCUUAUAUGAUAUGAAAUUUUUUUUAUAAAUGUAUUUUCAUUGUUGUUAGAUGAUAAAAUAUAAUUAAUACUUUAUACGUGAUUUGUCUUUAUAAUUUUUUUCGUAAUUUUUUUAAAUAAGAUGAACGGUCAAACGUUAGACACGGAAAUUCAGGGUUUGUCUUUUU
This is a non-coding RNA of Oryza glumipatula, 212 nucleotides long. The record is from Rfam. NCBI's taxonomy places the organism in Eukaryota, Viridiplantae, Streptophyta, Magnoliopsida, Poales, Poaceae.